UUUUAUGAGAGUUUGAUCCUGGCUCAGGACGAACGCUGGCGGCGUGCCUAAUACAUGCAAGUCGAACGCUUCUUUUUCCACCGGAGCUUGCUCCACCGGAAAAAGAGGAGUGGCGAACGGGUGAGUAACACGUGGGUAACCUGCCCAUCAGAAGGGGAUAACACUUGGAAACAGGUGCUAAUACCGUAUAACAAUCGAAACCGCAUGGUUUUGAUUUGAAAGGCGCUUUCGGGUGUCGCUGAUGGAUGGACCCGCGGUGCAUUAGCUAGUUGGUGAGGUAACGGCUCACCAAGGCCACGAUGCAUAGCCGACCUGAGAGGGUGAUCGGCCACAUUGGGACUGAGACACGGCCCAAACUCCUACGGGAGGCAGCAGUAGGGAAUCUUCGGCAAUGGACGAAAGUCUGACCGAGCAACGCCGCGUGAGUGAAGAAGGUUUUCGGAUCGUAAAACUCUGUUGUUAGAGAAGAACAAGGAUGAGAGUAACUGUUCAUCCCUUGACGGUAUCUAACCAGAAAGCCACGGCUAACUACGUGCCAGCAGCCGCGGUAAUACGUAGGUGGCAAGCGUUGUCCGGAUUUAUUGGGCGUAAAGCGAGCGCAGGCGGUUUCUUAAGUCUGAUGUGAAAGCCCCCGGCUCAACCGGGGAGGGUCAUUGGAAACUGGGAGACUUGAGUGCAGAAGAGGAGAGUGGAAUUCCAUGUGUAGCGGUGAAAUGCGUAGAUAUAUGGAGGAACACCAGUGGCGAAGGCGGCUCUCUGGUCUGUAACUGACGCUGAGGCUCGAAAGCGUGGGGAGCAAACAGGAUUAGAUACCCUGGUAGUCCACGCCGUAAACGAUGAGUGCUAAGUGUUGGAGGGUUUCCGCCCUUCAGUGCUGCAGCUAACGCAUUAAGCACUCCGCCUGGGGAGUACGACCGCAAGGUUGAAACUCAAAGGAAUUGACGGGGGCCCGCACAAGCGGUGGAGCAUGUGGUUUAAUUCGAAGCAACGCGAAGAACCUUACCAGGUCUUGACAUCCUUUGACCACUCUAGAGAUAGAGCUUCCCCUUCGGGGGCAAAGUGACAGGUGGUGCAUGGUUGUCGUCAGCUCGUGUCGUGAGAUGUUGGGUUAAGUCCCGCAACGAGCGCAACCCUUAUUGUUAGUUGCCAUCAUUCAGUUGGGCACUCUAGCAAGACUGCCGGUGACAAACCGGAGGAAGGUGGGGAUGACGUCAAAUCAUCAUGCCCCUUAUGACCUGGGCUACACACGUGCUACAAUGGGAAGUACAACGAGUCGCGAAGUCGCGAGGCUAAGCUAAUCUCUUAAAGCUUCUCUCAGUUCGGAUUGCAGGCUGCAACUCGCCUGCAUGAAGCCGGAAUCGCUAGUAAUCGCGGAUCAGCACGCCGCGGUGAAUACGUUCCCGGGCCUUGUACACACCGCCCGUCACACCACGAGAGUUUGUAACACCCGAAGUCGGUGAGGUAACCUUUUUGGAGCCAGCCGCCUAAGGUGGGAUAGAUGAUUGGGGUGAAGUCGUAACAAGGUAGCCGUAUCGGAAGGUGCGGCUGGAUCACCUCCUUU
Molecule: ribosomal RNA, 1561 nt
Filed under: Enterococcus faecium
Lineage: Bacteria; Bacillati; Bacillota; Bacilli; Lactobacillales; Enterococcaceae
Description: bacterial SSU rRNA
Rfam family: Bacterial small subunit ribosomal RNA
Source: RNAcentral